GAUGAACGCUGGCGGCGUGCCUAAUACAUGCAAGUCGAGCGAAUGGAUUAAGAGCUUGCUCUUAUGAAGUUAGCGGCGGACGGGUGAGUAACACGUGGGUAACCUGCCCAUAAGACUGGGAUAACUCCGGGAAACGGGGGCUAAUACCGGAUAACAUUUUGAACCGCAUGGGUCGAAACUGAAAGGCCGCUGCGGCUGUCAAUUAUGGAUGGACCUGCGUCGCAUUAGCUAGUUGGUGAGGUAACGGCUCACCAAGGCAACGAUGCGUAGCCGACCUGAGAGGGUGAUCGGCCACACUGGGACUGAGACACGGCCCAGACUCCUACGGGAGGCAGCAGUAGGGAAUCUUCCGCAAUGGACGAGAGUCUGACGGAGCAACGCCGCGUGAGUGAUGAAGGCUUUCGGGUCGUAAAACUCUGUUGUUAGGGAAGAACAAGUGCUAGUUGAAUAAGCUGGCACCUUGACGGUACCUAACCAGAAAGCCACGGCUAACUACGUGCCAGCCGCCGCAGUAA
RNAcentral lists this ribosomal RNA (515 nucleotides) under uncultured bacterium. RNAcentral describes it as "partial 16S ribosomal RNA". It matches the Rfam family "Bacterial small subunit ribosomal RNA", at positions 28 to 523 of the family's 1533-position model. The record is from RNAcentral.